UACGUAGGUGGCAAGCGUUGUUCGGAAUUAUUGGGCGUAAAGGGCGCGUAGGCGGGCGGUCAAGUCAGAGGUGAAAUCCUCCAGCUCAACUGGAGAAGUGCCCCUGAUACUGGCCGUCUCGAGGGAGGUAGGGGCAUGUGGAACUUCCGGUGGAGCGGUGAAAUGCGUAGAUAUCGGAAGGAACGCCGGUGGCGAAAGCGACGUGCUGGACCUCUUCUGACGCUGAGGCACGAAAGCCAGGGGAGCAAACGGG
This 253-nucleotide ribosomal RNA is filed under the name uncultured bacterium. RNAcentral describes it as "partial 16S ribosomal RNA". It matches the Rfam family "Bacterial small subunit ribosomal RNA", at positions 524 to 776 of the family's 1533-position model. The record is from RNAcentral.